CCUACGGGGGGCUGCAGUGGGGAAUAUUGGACAAUGGGCGAAAGCCUGAUCCAGCCAUGCCGCGUGUGUGAAGAAGGCCUUCGGGUUGUAAAGCACUUUCAGUGGGGAAGAAAGCCUUGGGGCUAAUACCCUCGAGGAAGGACAUCACCCACAGAAGAAGCACCGGCUAACUCCGUGCCAGCAGCCGCGGUAAUACGGAGGGUGCGAGCGUUAAUCGGAAUUACUGGGCGUAAAGCGCGCGUAGGCGGUCUGAUAAGCCGGUUGUGAAAGCCCCGGGCUCAACCUGGGAACGGCAUCCGGAACUGUCAGGCUAGAGUGCAGGAGAGGAAGGUAGAAUUCCCGGUGUAGCGGUGAAAUGCGUAGAGAUCGGGAGGAAUACCGGUGGCGAAGGCGGCCUUCUGGACUGACACUGACGCUGAGGUGCGAAAGCGUGGGUAGCAAACAGGAUUAGAUACCCCAGUAGUC
This 465-nucleotide ribosomal RNA is filed under the name Vreelandella stevensii. RNAcentral describes it as "partial 16S ribosomal RNA". It matches the Rfam family "Bacterial small subunit ribosomal RNA", at positions 338 to 795 of the family's 1533-position model. The record is from RNAcentral. Lineage: Bacteria; Pseudomonadati; Pseudomonadota; Gammaproteobacteria; Oceanospirillales; Halomonadaceae.